GGUCCCCAGAACAUCCAAAUUCCUCACCUGGCAGGGGCGGUGAGUUAUAUGGGCCCGUGGUGCCCAUGCUCCAGGAAUAUUCAGGACUCAGGGGCCCGGCUCCACCAAUUUGCGGGGCCAGGUCUCUCCCCUGGCCCUGCCUGCUGUCCCCACGCACCUCCCCUGGAGCAUCUCCUGACCCCGUCUGCUGCCCCCAGGCGAUUUAAAAGGAGCCCCGGCCGCCACUGCCACCACCGGCAAUAUAGUGGGGCUAUGGCGCCUUCCUGCCCACCCUCGCUCCGCACUGCUCCCGGAAGCAGCCGACGCAUCCCUGUGGCCCCGGGGGGGAAGUGUAUGUCCGUGCACUGCCCCCACCCUGAGCACCAACUCCACAGCUCCCAUUGGCUGGGGGCGGUGCUGUGGACAGCGGCACAUAGAGACCCCCCCCGACAUCCCCCACCUAGGAGCUGCCUUAGGUUGCUUUUGGGAGCCGCCCAAGGUGCCUGGGAGGAGGAAGAGGCCGGACAGAAGGAAAGAAAGAGCAAAGCACCAACAGCCAGGGAGGGAAGGGAGGGAGAAAGCAAAGCAAGAAGAGGAUGAGGAAGGGAAGGCAGGAGGAGGUAGAGUUGAUGCUAUUAACAACAUACCAGCUGAACUCUAGUCCCCGCCGGUUCUGCACACUCGCUUGCUGCAGGUUGGGUUAGUCCUGGGCACAGGCACCAGAGUGGAACAGCAUCUGCCUGGAAUGUGCCCUCCCACCCGUCAUGCCUGCCGAGCCAUGGCAGGGGUCAAGUACGAGCUCAAUGAGAUUGCACGGCAGCCCUCUUGACUCACCCAGCUGGGGCUAUGGAAGCCUCUUCCAGGAAUCUCGCAUGGUUUCCCAGCCCGAAAAACAAGCCGAGAACGAUAACAACAACAAGCCCCAGGAGCCCAGAGAACUGCUCCCCUGCCCUCUCUUGCUGCAAAACGCCUCUCCUUCCCCUCCUUCUGCCUCUUGCUUGGGAGUAUCCCAGCGAGUCCUCAGCCGGCUGCCCUUGCUGGGUUCAGCUGCUGUGCUGUUGGCGUGUAUCUGACAGCAUGACAGUCCUGUGUGUGUGUGUGUGUAUAUCUCCCAGCCCCAGAGGCAGUGCCUGCAAAGGAUCGAGUGGUGAUAGCAAUGUGGAUUUACAGAGCCAGUCAGAGCGUGUGUGUGUGCAGCUCCCCACCUCUGCUGCUGGCUCAGUCCAUUUCUGAACAAGAGGAGAAUUAACCAGCAUCAUGACGAAGCAGUAUUUGUGAGAGGUGGCGGCUCUCCAUCUUGCUCUCUCUCCCUCCCUCUGUUAAUUUUUGUUGUUGCAAAAUAAAAUGAAAUAAACGCUCUGUGUCGGUGCCAAAAAUAACAUGGCAGAAUGGAAGGGAGAGGAGUGGGUUGGGGAGCAAUGGGUAGAACUCCCCCCCAGAAAAUUCAGGCAA
Chelonia mydas (Green sea turtle) is the source of this 1431-nucleotide long non-coding RNA. RefSeq lists it as uncharacterized. The record is from RefSeq and is a predicted model, not a curated record. Lineage: Eukaryota; Metazoa; Chordata; Testudines; Cheloniidae. The transcript is spliced from 2 exons.